Molecule: long non-coding RNA, 2731 nt
Organism: Manis pentadactyla (Chinese pangolin)
Lineage: Eukaryota; Metazoa; Chordata; Mammalia; Pholidota; Manidae
Exons: 3
Source: RefSeq, a predicted model, not a curated record
UUCUUUUUACACACAUAAUUUUGCCGGCCUCAAGAUGGACACAUCUAUGUCCCCUUCUCUCAGCGUACAAUUUUUUGUGACCAGCUCCUACCUCACCCUGAUUUCGUCUGGCCUACCCUUCCAUUUAUCCUUCAGCUCUCCUUCUGUCAUUUCCUUAACGAGGCCUUUUUGACACACCGUACUCCAACUCAAUGUAAAUCAGACCCCAAACUGUCUGAAUGAAUGGCAAGAUCCAGAGCACAGAUAGAGGAAAUGAACUUGGCCAGGAAAGACUCUUUUCCGCUGUCACGGGACAAAAGAAUGUGAACAAACUCAGACAGGAUGCAGGAGUUUCAGAUGAUUGCCUUUAUUGCUCUACAACCUUUACAGUUGUCCCCCAAACCUGUGCGUUAUCCCAGUGCCUUAAAAAACAGUAAUUCAAUCCAACCACUCUUCUCUCACCUUCUUGCAGUUUACCUAACUGACUACUCCCAUUGCACUCGUUUUACACGUUUUUACUCCAAUUUCCCCAUCUCCACCCAUUCCUCCUACCUUCAUUUUCCUUCCUAUGUAUGAUACCUCAUUUCAACCUCUCUUUUGCCAACAUCCUAAGUUUUUUGCCCCCUUGUCUUUUGGUUACACCCCUCUAGAAAUCCACAGUCCUGAAAUGAAUUCCAUUAUCCAUUUAGGCCACAGAUUAUUAUUGUGGAAAUUGCAUGAACAGGCAGAAUGUGGUCACUGUACAUUCACAGCCUACUGCUUCAGCAGGCCCUUGGCACACCCGGGCUCCUACUAUGAUGUUUUGAAGGCACAUUUUCACCACCUGCAGUGACUAUUUCAAACUUCCUCCACCCCUCUCAAACCCUCAGCCUCCCCAGACAACCUCACUCUCUGCAGAUAGUCUUGCCUCCAGAUUCACAGAGCAAAUAAAGGAUUACUAGCACAAAACUGAAUUGAAUAUUUUAAAUAUUUAAUAUAAUUUAAUAACUAAUAGAGAAGAGCUAGAAAAGAUACUUCUUAUUCAUAGUUUAUUCAAAUAUUUAGUAUUGCCUGUUUGGGAAGUAUCCAGAAUCUGUAUCCUUAGAUUGUUCUAUUUAUUUUAAACCUCCUCAAAUAUCUCCAUUCUGGAAACUUCUCUGGCUAAGGCAGAAUGGAGAGGAAGGAUCUGAUACAAUAAAUGAUCUUUGUUUAGAAAUUAACUGGAAUAUGGGGAUCAGUAGAAAAGGAAGAACACAGAAUGUCUCAGAACAUCCUUCCUGAACAAAGACAGAUGGAUAAAGGAGGAGGACCAGUUUGGGGAGUGUGUGGCUGGAUUAUCCAGAGGCAUGUUCGUGGGGCAGUUAAAAGAAGUGGACCUGCCUGAAGUCAUUUAGUAAUUUGAGCACCCCUAAAAGAGAGAUGACCAGACAUAAGCACCCUGAUUCCAUGCAAGAGGACCCCCUUGUCCUCCCAACUAACUAAACCUUAAUUUAAUAAUACUUUCAGAUCUAAUUUCCAGUCUACAAGAAAUGUGUGGGAUAAGGAAAUAAGUUAAAAACAAAAUAAGAAAGCAAUCAGCCAAAUCUAUAGAAUGGGGGAUAUUCUACAUGACAAACAAUCUGUUCAAGAAGAAUGGGAACAUGAAAGAGAUUUAAGAGACAUCAAAACAAAUUCAACUCAGCUUAUACUUCUCCUGCCCAAACUCUGGAGCCAGCUUGCUCUCCAAGGAGCCCUUGACUGACUGACUUUUUAACAAAUCCAAGGAAUACAUUAGUGAAGGCAAGUCCUAGCCUUCAGCUGAAGUCUUUGUGAUCAGUCCCAGUUUGACACUUGAUGCUGGCCAUCAGUUCUGAAUUUUGUCUUCUGAAGAACCCUUUACUUUUGGACCAUUCAGUCCAGGAUCUAAUACAGUUCCCAGGAUCCUUCCCAAGAUUUCAGUCAGGCUUCUUAGGCUCACAACAGGACCUCAUCUUCCAGACAGCCACCACAGAUGCCAUCACUUUCAAAGCACGUAGCUGUUCUGCAUGGUAAUGUGAGCAUGAUCAGCUUCACCUCUUAAUCCUCUUCCUCAGAGACAGCAGUUAGUUCCCAAGGUCUGAACUUGGCACUGGGAGAAGGUUGACCUCUAGUGUCUUUUCCCAUUGGUUUGACCUCUUAAUCCCUAAGCCAUCCUGACCAGAAGAGGGAGUAGUUCCAACAGGAACCUUGAGCUCAGGCAUUAGUCUUCCCAAACUCCUGCUGUUACCUGGCCUUUUCAAAUGGAUCCCUGCCCCAGUUUCCCACUUGACACAGACUGCUUUACUAAAUUCUUACUGUUUAACAAGAUUAGGAGUAAUGACCUUUUCCUCUCACCUUUUGAAGUAAUAUGUGUAAAGCAAAAUGUUUAUGUUUAUGAAGUCACCCAUCUUUCUGUCAAGAAACAAAGGUUUUUAAAAAAUUAGAACCAGUAUAUUUGUAUUUAUAUUUACUUUCUGGUAUUCUGAUUCUCAUCUCUAUGAAGGGUAUCUACCAGAAACCUGUAUCAAACUUCCAAGAUCAUGCACAAGAGGUAAACGUGCCCUGUAAUGUUGAGAACAACUCAAGGAGAGCUGCUAUGACUGCUAAAGUUUUGCAAAUUUCUGCUAAUGUAAGAAGACAAGAAAAAGAAAUAGGAUGACUGAAUAUUGAGAAGAAAAAGGCAAAACUAUUAUUUAUAGAUAAAUACCAGAAAAUGUAAGGUGUAACACAUUAAGAAACUAUUCAAAAUAAUGAAAAAAUUUCAAUAAAAUCUACA